GGGAAUAUUGACAAUGGAGGAAACUCUGAUGCAGCGAUGCCGCGUGAGUGAAGAAGGCCUUUGGGUUGUAAAGCUCUUUCGUCGGGGAAGAAAAUGACUGUACCCGAAUAAGAAGGUCCGGCUAACUUCGUGCCAGCAGCCGCGGUAAU
Molecule: ribosomal RNA, 149 nt
Filed under: uncultured Pelagibacteraceae bacterium
Lineage: Bacteria; Pseudomonadati; Pseudomonadota; Alphaproteobacteria; Candidatus Pelagibacterales; Candidatus Pelagibacteraceae
Description: partial 16S ribosomal RNA
Rfam family: Bacterial small subunit ribosomal RNA
Source: RNAcentral